This 199-nucleotide ribosomal RNA is filed under the name uncultured bacterium. Its description in RNAcentral is "partial 16S ribosomal RNA". It matches the Rfam family "Bacterial small subunit ribosomal RNA", at positions 328 to 539 of the family's 1533-position model. The record is from RNAcentral.
ACGCUCGACACCUACAGGAGGCAGCAGUCGGGAAUAUUGCGCAAUGGAGGAAACUCUGACGCAGUGACGCCGCGUAUAGGAAGAAGGUUUUCGGAUUGUAAACUAUUGUCGUUAGGGAAGAGAAAGGACAGUACCUAAGGAGGAAGCUCCGGCUAACUACGCGCCAGCAGCCGCGGUAAUCUGAGCGGGCUGGCAAGGC